RNAcentral lists this ribosomal RNA (252 nucleotides) under uncultured bacterium. RNAcentral describes it as "partial 16S ribosomal RNA". It matches the Rfam family "Bacterial small subunit ribosomal RNA", at positions 524 to 776 of the family's 1533-position model. The record is from RNAcentral.
UACGUAGGGUGCGAGCGUAAUCGGAAUUACUGGGCGUAAAGCGUGCGCAGGCGGUUUUGUAAGUCAGAUGUGAAAUCCCCGGGCUCAACCUGGGAACUGCGUUUGAAACUACAAGGCUAGAGUGUAGCAGAGGGGGGUAGAAUUCCACGUGUAGCAGUGAAAUGCGUAGAGAUGUGGAGGAAUACCAAUGGCGAAGGCAGCCCCCUGGGUUAACACUGACGCUCAUGCACGAAAGCGUGGGGAGCAAACAGG